UGAACCGUGAUCUAGUAAACGCUGGUA
Molecule: non-coding RNA, 27 nt
Filed under: Bombyx mori (domestic silkworm)
Lineage: Eukaryota; Metazoa; Arthropoda; Insecta; Lepidoptera; Bombycidae
Source: RNAcentral